RNAcentral lists this unclassified non-coding RNA (2758 nucleotides) under Hevea brasiliensis (rubber tree). Lineage: Eukaryota; Viridiplantae; Streptophyta; Magnoliopsida; Malpighiales; Euphorbiaceae. The record is from RNAcentral.
CAGACGUGUGUUUUCUUCCAUAAAACGUGUCUCUGAAGAUUUUAACCGUGGGCUUUAAUCCUUAAAGUCCACUUUUUUAGUGCUUAAACUGACUUCAUUGGUUUCUUGGCUUCUCGCCCAUGUGUGAGUGUGAGCUAGCGUUAACCAAGAGCCAGUCAGUCAUUCCCCCCACCGUGUUCUUUACUUUCUCUUGUGGUCUUUUUUGUCAUAAAGAUCUUUGGCCUACCAAGAACGCAGGACAAUCCUUGACAAUCCAAAAUACAAGCUCAUUCUGUGACAAGAAAUGCGCUUUCUCUUCUCUCUCAUUAUGAGAACCCUUUCUCAAUUCACCUUUCUGCUUCUGUUUCUGUUUUCUUGCACCACCUUCACUAGCACAGAGGCCUAUGAUGCUCUUGACCCAAAUGGGAAUAUCACAAUCAAAUGGGAUAUUAUGAGCUGGACGCCUGAUGGAUAUGUUGCUGUUGUUUCAAUCUACAACUUCCAGCAAUAUCGUCACAUUGAAGCACCGGGGUGGACAUUAGGAUGGACAUGGGCAAAGAAGGAGGUAAUAUGGAGCAUGGUGGGAGGUCAAACAACAGAGCAGGGAGACUGUUCAAGAUUCAAAGGAAACAUUCCACAUUGCUGUAAGAAAAAACCAUCAGUAGUGGAUUUAUUGCCAGGAACUCCUUACAACCAGCAGAUUGCAAAUUGCUGCAAAGGGGGUGUAAUAAGCUCAUUGGUGCAAGAUCCAUCCAAGGCAGUAAGUGCAUUCCAGCUUAGCGUAGGUGCAGCUGGAACCACUAACAAGACUGUCAGGGUGCCUAAAAACUUCACUCUGAAGGCUCCAGGGCCUGGUUAUACAUGCGGACCAGCGAAAAUUGUUAGACCUAGUAAAUUUUUUACAGCUGAUAAAAGGAGAGUUACACAAGCUUUGAGUAAGUCAAUCAAGGAGGAUCAUAGAGUUACAUUUUUGCAGUCUCUUCAAAUAAUCUAAAUCUUAUGUUAAUUCACAGCUGAAUUUUCUCAUAAAUAUACUAAUUUCUCAAAUUUGAUAUAUUCUGCAGUGUUAUUUGAGGUGCAGAAAGUUGCAUUCCUUUUUUUUUUUUCAAAUAAGUGGCAUUCCUUGUUAUGUUGUUAUCUAGAUAAACUUUAAGCAAAAAGUUGUAUGCUGUACUUCUAUGAUAUGAUAGUUUUUGGAAGAUAUUUUAGGAGAUGAUUUCUACAUUCCCUAUUUAUUUGCGAAUCUGUAUCCUUGGAGAUGGCAUAAGUGACUUCGGAUCUCUUUUACUUCAGUGACAUGGAAUGUGACCUGCACAUAUUCGCAAUUCCUGGCUCAGAAGACCCCCACCUGCUGUGUUUCGCUCUCAUCUUUCUACAAUGACACGAUAGUGCCCUGCCCAACAUGUGCCUGUGGCUGCCGAGGCAACAGUACUUCAUCAGGGAAUUGUGUAGAUCCAAAUGCACCACAUUUAGCUUCAGUUGUUUCCAGCUCAGGGAAAAACGGCCUUGCACCUCUUGUCCAAUGCACAAGUCAUAUGUGUCCAGUCAGAAUUCAUUGGCAUGUUAAGCUUAACUACAGAGAGUACUGGCGGGUUAAGGUCACAAUUACAAAUUUCAAUUACAAUAUGAACUAUUCAGAAUGGAACCUAGUCGUCCAACACCCAAACUUCGACAAUCUGACACAGACUUUUAGCUUUAAUUAUAGGGCAUUGACUCCAUAUUCAGUUAUAAGUAAGUAACAUCUUUCCUUUUGGUUGCUCUUAUUUACUUUUCUGUUUUUGGUCUCAUGUUAUGGAUAGAAUAGGAAUGAAGGUUCCCUUUACCACUUUUUUUUUUUUUUUGGAUAGAAUAAGGGACUAAUGGUUUAAACAGAUUUCAUUCCUUUUGUUCUUUGUAUUUCAUCCAAUGAGAACAGAGACUGAUCACAUGCACAGAUUGAUUGGAUUGGUUCAUGAUCAUUUGGCUGGUUUAGUGUAGUGAAUUUCAUGAAUUGUUACAUGCAAUGCAAUAGUCUGCUUGUUUGACAAUGAGGGAAUGCUUGCCAGUCACUAUGAUUGAAUAUAAGGGUAAUGGGAUUGGAGUUCAGAUUGCAUAGUGAAAUAUAUCUUCUUUUCCUUUUUUUUUUUUACUCUGAAAAUGGAUAUAGGGAUUUUUCUCUUUAAAAUGUAUUAAUACUCAUCAUAUUGUCUUUUCCAACAGAUGAUACAGCCAUGCUAUGGGGAAUUCAAUACUACAAUGAUUUGCUCAUGCAAGCUGGCCCUUCUGGUAAUGUUCAGUCGGAGUUGCUUUUCCAAAAGGACAAGUCAACUUUUACCUUUGAGAAGGGUUGGGCUUUCCCUAGAAGAAUCUACUUCAAUGGUGAUAAUUGUGUCAUGCCACCUCCAGAUGCCUAUCCAUGGUUGCCAAAUGCCAGUUCGCGCAAGCAUGUCUCAGCCCUUAUACUAACAGUUACUUUGUUUUCUGCUUUGGCAAUCUUAUACAGAUAUCUAUAAGCUCGCAAAUGUACACUGCAAAGUACAUCUUCAAGUUUUGACCAGAUCUUCUUGACCUCAGCAUUAAUCAGAAAACAGUUGGAAAGUUAAUUUGUUAGUGCAAUUCCACCCAGCAUUUCAGGAGUUACAGGUGAAUUUGUAGGUUUGCUGCCAUUUUGUCAUUUGUUGCUGUUGUCUCACUUUUUUCCUUGUACUUUCUUAUCUUUGUAGAGUUUCCGACAAUACAAUUAUGAUGUAACAAAAUUAGGGUAAAUAAAAAGUACCUUUCAGAGAGACCUAGAGCUCAU